GCCAAGGUUAGCCAUCACUGCGGUAGAGCAUCAGACUUUUAAUCUGAGGGUCCAGGGUUCAAGUCCCUGUUUGGGCA
Pelobates cultripes (western spadefoot toad) is the source of this 77-nucleotide non-coding RNA. The record is from the annotation of a GenBank genome assembly. NCBI's taxonomy places the organism in Eukaryota, Metazoa, Chordata, Amphibia, Anura, Pelobatidae.